AUUAUAGAAAAUUGUAAAUGAGGUGACAGUAAUUCAUGCCUUUCUCUGCUGAUUUUCCUAGGCCAACAUCAGAAAGAUCGAAGAACAGAAUACAGUUGGAAGCCAACAACAUAUUUGUGGUUUUGAAGUUUGGAACAACAUCAAAAGAUAUGCAGGACACAGCUCAGAAUACAUUAUCACAUCCUGUCAGGCAGCAGGAACUCCAGAUUUUGAUGACAUGACUAGCUGGAUCAUUCUGCAUUUGUCCAGGAACAUGUAUUUAGGUACUGUGAUGAUUUUAUUGGUAGAAUAUUUGCAAUGUUUCAGAUGUUUCCGGGGUAUGUGGCCGCUGAGCAAGGUUUUGGUAAUCUGAACUUUUAGGUUAGAGAGUAGUC
This 374-nucleotide long non-coding RNA is filed under the name Numida meleagris (helmeted guineafowl). RNAcentral's name for it is "lncRNA (ENSNMEG00000010681.1)". The record is from RNAcentral. Lineage: Eukaryota; Metazoa; Chordata; Aves; Galliformes; Numididae.